GAUGAACGCUGGCGGCGUGCCUAAUACAUGCAAGUCGAGCGAACAGAUGAGGAGCUUGCUCCUCUGACGUUAGCGGCGGACGGGUGAGUAACACGUGGAUAACCUACCUAUAAGACUGGGAUAACUUCGGGAAACCGGAGCUAAUACCGGAUAAUAUAUUGAACCGCAUGGUUCAAUAGUGAAAGACGGUUUUGCUGUCACUUAUAGAUGGAUCCGCGCCGCAUUAGCUAGUUGGUAAGGUAACGGCUUACCAAGGCAACGAUGCGUAGCCGACCUGAGGGGGUGAUGGCCCACAGGGUAACUGACACACGGACCACACUCCUAGGGGGGGCCGCAGUGGGGAAUAUUGGAAAGUGGGCGAAAGCCUGAGGAAGCCACGCCGCGUGGGUGAAGAAGGUCUUGUGCUUGAAAAACUGUUUUAUUGGGAAAAAAAAGUAGUUCAAUAAUAUACCCCUGUUUGGAGGUUACCUAAUAAAAAAGCCCGGGCAAACUCGGUC
This 497-nucleotide ribosomal RNA is filed under the name uncultured bacterium. Its description in RNAcentral is "partial 16S ribosomal RNA". It matches the Rfam family "Bacterial small subunit ribosomal RNA", at positions 28 to 507 of the family's 1533-position model. The record is from RNAcentral.